CAGCAACCGCGGUAAAACAGAGGGUGCGAGCGUUAAUCGGAUUUACUGGGCGUAAAGCGUGCGUAGGCGGCUUUUUAAGUCGGAUGUGAAAUCCCUGAGCUUAACUUAGGAAUUGCAUUCGAUACUGGGAAGCUAGAGUAUGGGAGAGGAUGGUAGAAUUCCAGGUGUAGCGGUGAAAUGCGUAGAGAUCUGGAGGAAUACCGAUGGCGAAGGCAGCCAUCUGGCCUAAUACUGACGCUGAGGUACGAAAGCAUGGGGAGCAAACAGGAUUAGAUACCCCCGUAGUCCCUGUCUCUUAUAC
RNAcentral lists this ribosomal RNA (301 nucleotides) under uncultured bacterium. RNAcentral's name for it is "partial 16S ribosomal RNA". It matches the Rfam family "Bacterial small subunit ribosomal RNA", at positions 509 to 807 of the family's 1533-position model. The record is from RNAcentral.